CGCGGCCUAUCAGCUUGUUGGUGAGGUAACGGCUCACCAAGGCAUCGACGGGUAGCUGGUCUGAGAGGAUGAUCAGCCACACUGGAACUGAGACACGGUCCAGACUCCUACGGGAGGCAGCAGUGGGGAAUAUUGCACAAUGGGCGCAAGCCUGAUGCAGCGAUGCCGCGUGCGGGAAGAAGGCCCUAGGGUUGUAAACCGCUUUCAGCAGGGAAGAAAAUGACGGUACCUGUAGAAGAAGGCGCGGCCAACUACGUGCCAGCAGCCGCGGUGACACGUAGGCACCAAGCGUUGUCCGGAUUUAUUGGGCGUAAAGAGCUCGUAGGCGGUUCAGUAAGUCGGGUGUGAAAACUCUGGGCUCAACCCAGAGACGCCACCCGAUACUGCUGUGACUUGAGUACGGUAGGGGAGCGGGGAAUUCCUGGUGUAGCGGUGAAAUGCGCAGAUAUCAGGAGGAACACCAGUGGCGAAGGCGCCGCUCUGGGCCGAAACUGACGCUGAGGAGCGAAAGCAUGGGUAGCAAACAGGAUUAGAUACCCUGCUAGUCCAUGCCGUAAACGUUGGGCACUAGGUGUGGGUCUCAACCAACGAGAUCCGCGCCGUCGCUAACGCAUUAAGUGCCCCGCCUGGGGAGUACGG
This 639-nucleotide ribosomal RNA is filed under the name uncultured Ilumatobacter sp. RNAcentral describes it as "bacterial SSU rRNA". It matches the Rfam family "Bacterial small subunit ribosomal RNA", at positions 232 to 885 of the family's 1533-position model. The record is from RNAcentral. Lineage: Bacteria; Bacillati; Actinomycetota; Acidimicrobiia; Acidimicrobiales; Ilumatobacteraceae.